RNAcentral lists this ribosomal RNA (618 nucleotides) under uncultured archaeon. Its description in RNAcentral is "bacterial SSU rRNA". It matches the Rfam family "Archaeal small subunit ribosomal RNA", at positions 206 to 824 of the family's 1478-position model. The record is from RNAcentral.
AGGAUGGGUCUGCGGCCUAUCAGGUAGUAGUGGGUGUAGCGUACCUACUAGCCUACGACGGGUACGGGUUGUGAGAGCAAGAGCCCGGAGAUGGAUUCUGAGACACGAAUCCAGGCCCUACGGGGUGCAGCAGGCGCGAAAACUUUACAAUGCUGGCAACAGCGAUAAGGGAACCUCGAGUGCCAGGUUACAAAUCUGGCUGUCGAGAUGCCUAAAAAGCAUUUCAUAGCAAGGGCCGGGCAAGACCGGUGCCAGCCGCCGCGGUAACACCGGCGGCUCGAGUGGUAACCGUUAUUAUUGGGUCUAAAGGGUCUGUAGCCGGCCGGAUAAGUCUCUUGAGAAAUCUGGCAGCUUAACUGUCAGGCUUUCAGGAGAUACUGUCUGGCUCGAGGCCGGGAGAGGUGAGAGGUACUUCAGGGGUAGGGGUGAAAUCUUGUAAUCCUUGAAGGACCACCAGUGGCGAAGGCGUCUCACCAGAACGGACCUGACGGCAAGGGACGAAAGCUAGGGGCACGAACCGGAUUAGAUACCCGGGUAGUCCUAGCCGUAAACGAUACUCGCUAGGUGUCGGCCACGGUGCGACCGUUGUCGGUGCCGUAGGGAAGCCGUGAAGCGAGC